This 253-nucleotide ribosomal RNA is filed under the name uncultured bacterium. RNAcentral describes it as "partial 16S ribosomal RNA". It matches the Rfam family "Bacterial small subunit ribosomal RNA", at positions 524 to 776 of the family's 1533-position model. The record is from RNAcentral.
UACGUAGGGACCAAGCGUUGUUCGGAUUUACUGGGCGUAAAGGGCGCGUAGGCGGCAUGACAAGUCACUUGUGAAAUCUCCGGGCUUAACUCGGAACGGCCAAGUGAUACUGUCAAGCUAGAGUGCAGAAAGGGCAAUCGGAAUUCUUGGUGUAGCGGUGAAAUGCGUAGAUAUUCGGAGGAACACCAGAAGCGAAGGCGGCCAACUGGCCCGAUACUGACGCUGAGGCGCGAAAGCGUGGGGAGCAAACAGG